RNAcentral lists this ribosomal RNA (279 nucleotides) under uncultured bacterium. RNAcentral's name for it is "partial 16S ribosomal RNA". It matches the Rfam family "Bacterial small subunit ribosomal RNA", at positions 506 to 784 of the family's 1533-position model. The record is from RNAcentral.
UGCCAGCAGCCGCGGUAAUACGGAGGGUGCAAGCGUUAAUCGGAUUCAUUGGGCGUAAAGGGCGUCUAGGCGGGAAUGAAAGUCAGACGUGAAAGCCCGGGGCUCAACCCCGGAACUGCAUUUGAAACUUCAUUUCUUGAGGAUGGACGGAGAAGACGGAAUUCCACGUGUAGCGGUGAAAUGCGUAGAUAUGUGGAAGAACACCUGUGGCGAAAGCGGUCUUCUAGUUUAUUCCUGACGCUAAAGCGCGAAAGCAAGGGGAGCGAACAGGAUUAGAUA